AAAAAUUUUCAAGCGUAAGCCCAUGAUUUUAUUUUAAUGUAGUGGACUAGAAAUCAUGUGGCCUCUGCCUGCGCAGGUAUCCUGCCGUUCACGCUUCAUAUUGCUUUAAAUUUUUUUGGUGAAAUCAUAUAUCCUCUGUUUUUCCAAUUCUAUCCGAUAGCGAGUGUUAUUUCAAAAUAUUAGACCGAAAUACUUAGGGUUUAAAUCCAAAUCUAAGUUCAUAAAAUAAUUCGACCAUUGCAACCAUCGUCAUCGGUAAUAGUUCAUCUCUUUGAUCCACCCUAAUGGUAGGGAACCAGAGCUCCUCUGUUCUUCCCAUUCUAUCGAUUUUCAGUAUAUUUACUCUCGAACAUCCACCGAUAUGGCAAAUGCCCAGGUCAAUUAAAUAAAUGGAGGAGACUGCGAUGUGAAAACUGCGACAAUUUUAAAGACAUCUCUUUUGGCGUAUACAUUUCAUGAUAUGAUCAAGUAUCAACCCUCAGAGGAAUGUCUCCAGGGAUGUAUAGUUUGACAUGUCUGCAUAAGCUUACAAGGUUUGUAAGAGGUGGAACCAACAAUGAUGCUAAUUAUUGCAGACCAGUUGGAGUGGGUGCAAAUGGGCUUAGAGACUUGCGAUGUCUUGCAAAUCUCAGUGGCAGUCUGGAAAUUAAGGUGUAAAAAGGUUCCACACAUGAUGCAUCUGAAGCUAUGGAAGGGAGACAUCUUGUAAACAAGCCACAUCUUAGGGGUAUAAACAUAUAUUGGAAGCUCAUGCCUGGUCCGGCAAUUACUACAUAUAUAGUGGAGAUAAUAGUGAAGGGAUCAACACGCAAAUAUUACUUCAAGGCUUUCAACCCCAUCCUAAUCUUAGAAUGUUGGAGUUGUGGUGCUAUUCUGGUGAAUGGUUUCCGAGCUGGGAGGGAUCUUUAAUGAAUCUCGAAACUUGUCUCCCAAAUCUUUUUGAAAUAAAAUUUCUUGGAUGCAUAAGGCUGGAGCAUCUUCCAUCUUUAAUUUAUUUGUGUCAUUUAAAGUCCGACUUAGUGAUUGAGAAAGUUGGAGUAUGUAGAGUACUGGUAGUCGAGGUGGAGUAAAAAAUUACCACUAUUGAAUUUAGGGGAGGAUGAGAUAGGAAUGAGCAUUGGGGAUAAUCUUGAGACUGAUAAUGAGCAGAAACUACAGCAACGACAACAGUCACUAACAAGAUUGUGACAUAAUCAUUUCCUAAGCUUUCUUUUAUGUUUAAAAUAGGGGAGUGUCCUAACUUGGCAAUUUUUCCUGUGUGUCCAAAACUGAAAGCAUUGAAAAUGAGGGGCUUCAAUGAAGCUGUGGGCCAAUUAUCGGCAUAAGUUUGAUACUUUUCAUUCUUCUUCUAAGUUGCGGAAGGAACAACCAGGAAGCUUAUGGUAGAGCUUCAAUUGUCUUCAUGCAGAGUCUUUCCUGUGCAUUUCUCAUUUGAUGAUGGAGUGUGACCUUGAUAUAGAGAAAUUGACAUCAGGGCAGAUGUUUUAGCGCUGUCGCCUUUCCUCUUUUUACUCUCUAGUGAUAUAUCAGUACUGGAAACUAAAGUCUAUCAGGACGAGGAGUGCGGGAUCAUAUUACUGCUUUGAAGAGUCUAUGUUUGAGCUCCCUCCAUGUGUUGGAAUUGCAUGAUUCCACAGCACAAAGAGAGGAAGAGAGAAAGGAUGAUGUCACUGAUACUAUCAUUCCUUGGAGAGGCCUCGGUCAUACUCUUCGUUUGGCAUCUUCCAAAGCUAGUGAAACUGCCAAAGGGAAUGCACCAUUUGACUGCUCACCAUUUCCUUGACAUUUCAUAUUGUAACAAUUCAAAGAACUACCAGAAUGGAUAGGAUUUUAUCAUCCCUUCAAUCACUUCUUAUUCAAGAUUCUAAAAGCUUAAAAUCAUUGCUAGAAGGGUUGCACUACCUCAGCUCUUUACGCAUACUUGAUUUGUUGGAAUGCUCACGAGAGUUAAAGGAAAGAUCCCACAAUCCGACUGGUGUUGAUUGGCCCAUCAUCCAACAUAUCACCCACAUUCCCUCUCCACAUAGGAGUAUAACAGAUUAUAUUCUCCAUCUUUUUUAGUUGCAUCAUAUGUUUGGCGAAUCCUGCUCUAGACUCUCCUCGUGCUCUUUAAACUUUUAAAGUGGAUUUCAUCAUUGUUAUAGGUUCACUGAGUGGAGCGGUUUCACUUAUGUUUUCAGUCCUCCAACUUAUUUCAUGCUUGGAAAAUCCUUUCCCAGUUGAGGUAUUUAAUUACAUCUCUUAACUUCUGUAUGUUUCCUGAUUUAUUUCAUGAACUUUUGUACAUUUCUGUAUGAGAUUGAGAAAUCUUUGACCGAAUGGUAUUGUAAGUCAUCUUGUAUAGCUCAUUUAUUAGAAGUCGAACAAAAUUAAUUUAGUAGCUUUAAGGAAGUUCAGCUUGAGAAUGGUUAUAUUUAUAUUGCCAGGAUUGUAUCCACUUACUAGCAGCUGCCACUUACUGUAGUUCAUUCAGUUUUGAUAAGUUCAAUUCAACUCGUGUUACCAGGGUCGAUACAGACUCGUGUCUCGGUGUCUUGAGUGUCUAAUUUAAAAGUCCACAGAAUACGUAUUUUCCAGAAAUUAAAACUUAGAGGUGGCACAAGUUGGGUUUGCCUGAAUUUGGGUUGAUUAUAGAUUGGACUGGUUGAUAUCUGAUAAGUUCUGGAUAUCCACACUUGUAAAACACUUUUGGAUAUUCCAAAGUAAUACACACACAAUUAUUUAUUUGAAAAAGCUUAUUUUGGGCAGAUUCAAACUUUUUCGACUCAUUCUCGUUGGUCUUAGAUAUUUCAGAUAUUUGAGCUUCUUUUGGAUAUCAAGUAUCGGAUGCUUGGAUAAGAGGUGAUCAACUGCACAUGGUCUUUUUUUUCUCCCGUAUAUGAAAAAGUUAAUAAAUAAAACGUUAACUUUAUUAAUAAAAUAAAUAUAUAACUAUAAAUAAGGCGUAGAAUAAAAGUAUUUUACAGGGCCCCAAAUUUUAUAAGACGGCUCCGGCUCGGAUCAAAUAUACAAAUGGUUUUUUCUGGAUAUUAGAUAUUUUCCCUUGCUGCGUUUUUCUAGGCAUCGUUUAAAUGAUAGGCUUUGAAAAAACAUACCUGAGUCCGGUGUUCGAGUUUGUCCUCCGACUUGUUAUUUAAAAUAUCUAGCAUUUGUGAAAGAUUAGGAGAAAAAUUGAAUAUCAUGAAUUAAGGGAGAAUACUACUGUACUCUUUAGCUUCAUCUAUUUGCUACAAAAAGUGAUAUUUUUCUUGCAAUGUUAUUAUCAAUAAGAAACUGAUAUGAGAGUAUCAAUUAUUUCUUACACUACAUAAGAUAAAAGAUUAUCAUUUGUGAUCAUAAAAGUAUUCUAUACCAUACAUCAUAUCCAGUAAAUUCCGCUUAUAAAGUUAGGGUCUAGGGUAGAUAACAUAAAUAUCAUACUUGUACCUCAUGGAAGAAAGGACAAGAAAAAUAUAGUUAAUUAUACCCAAAAAGCUAAAGCCCUACCAAGAAAGCAAUGAAAUUCACAAAAUACGUAUUGAUGUACACUUAAAAAUAUAUACAUCUAUGUUGAUGUAUACUUAAAAAACAAAUGAAUUAACCUAGCUAGUUGUAUUGCAUGCAUGCUGUAAAAGACAAACUUUUUUGGGCAUUUGACCAUACAAAGAAAUUAACUUUAAGAAAUGUAAAUUGGUUCAUAAAGAUUGAGCAAUUAGACAUUGAAAACCCACCAAAACCCAAGUAAUCUCACAUCAUAUUUAGCUAUUUUACUCUUGUUGCUUCACCUUUCACCCCUUUUAAGGUAAAAUAAAACUCUCUUUAUGUUAUCCACUCAUUCCUUUUGGUUAUACCACUUUGGAUGCAUUAUAUAUUAGUGAUGAACAAAGGUUUCAAGCUUUACACUUACGUGCGUUUAAGCUUCUUUUCUUGCAUGCUAUCUUUUUUUUCUAUCAAAAGUUAGAUCACAUAGAAGAUAAUUCAUCAUGAAUUUGGAUGCAUGUUUGACUUGAAUAUAUGAUGGGAUAAAGAUUCUUAUUAUAUGAUCUAGAAUCAUUUUUAGAAAUAUAGAUAUAGAUAUAGGUUUAGAUAUGACAAUGAGUAGUCAAUUAAUGGUUUUGAACAAAAUGGGGUUGUAGAUAUUGAACUUGAUUGGUAUCUUAAUUUAUUUUUGUCCACCCAUUGGUUGGACGUUUAACUAGUUCUGUUCAACUUUGUUUAAUUUAGUGUGGAAAAUAUUUUGUUUAAUUAGAGUGAAAACAUAAUAAUCAUUUUGAUGAUUAGAUAAUAGAGAACCUUUUUUUCUAGUUAAGAUAGACAGAAGAAAUGAAAGAAUUGAAGAGGUUUUAUUCGAUUGCAUGCAUAUCUCCUCCUCUCUCCUUUGAGGGAUACGGUUAUGAUAUGUUUGCUAUCUCUCCUCUCCGGACCCUGACUUUGUGCGAAAUACUGAGUUGAUGACCAAUACCAACACCAAUUGAAAGAUAAGAACAACAAAAAUUGAAUUAAGAAUCUAAUAUGAAAAAAAUUGAAUUCCAAUAAACAAUUAUAAACAUCUCAAUAUGUUUAUAAUGACAAUGACAUCAAAAUACUCCUAUUGCAUUUUCAACUUAUAAAUUGGAAGUAAUUUUCAUCAUCUCUCAGUUAAAAAGCAAUUAUCACUUUUUUAAUUAAAAUUUUAAAUUCAAUUUUACUUUUAUCUUCUUUCUGCCUACGCUAUAAUAAAGAAAAUAAAAAACACGUUAAAAGGGUUAUUGGAUUCCAAUCAUAUGUGUCCCGUCUUCCUUUCAUUGUAGUCAAGAAUAUCCAAUAAAUUUAAACUUAUAACAAAACUUUCUACAAUGCAACCAAAAAAAGCAAAUAAAAGUCUCUCUUUCUUUUCACGCAAAUCAAAAUAGAAAAAGCAAUGACUACAGACAAUUUAAGUGGGUUAUACUUUAUAUUUAAAGGGGACUAGUCAAAAAUUAUACCCAACUUUUAAAUUGAAUUUUGCUCACAUUUUAACCGUAUCAGAUUUGCAGAAAGACAAAUUGUAUUUUCUUCUUUCUUUCUUUGUUUCUGAAUAAUCUCAGUAUUUUGUUUGGAUACAAUAAAUGUAGAGGUUGUAUUUUAGUUGUUAGACUUGUGUGCUUUACUGUCAUUUUCUGUUGGAUUAUAUUCUACUACUUGU
This is a long non-coding RNA of Amaranthus tricolor (Joseph's coat), 5143 nucleotides long. RefSeq lists it as uncharacterized. NCBI's taxonomy places the organism in Eukaryota, Viridiplantae, Streptophyta, Magnoliopsida, Caryophyllales, Amaranthaceae. The transcript has 3 exons. The record is from RefSeq and is a predicted model, not a curated record.